UUGAAAUGUUAAUUCACCCACAUCUGGUACCUGGGAACAAUUCUGCAGCCUAGGCUAUCACAUCUAUUGCAACUUUGAAUGUAACCUCCCUUGCCACACAGAAAUGGAAGAAAUCACACCUGAAAUUUCCUAUAAUUUAAUCUCACCAACGAGAUCUUUUUUGUCAAGUCCUUUUUCAAAACUCUGCAAGGUUUAGAAGUUCUGAUACCAAACAGUACUGAUACUGAUAUGGAACAUGGCAGAAACACUGAGUGAACUAGAUUUGAACAGGACAGGAUCUGGAGUUGGCGGGGUCCUCCAAGGCAGCAGCUAGGAGACAGGUGUUGAGUGGUGAAAAGAUAACUGGGUUGGUAGGAGGCUAGUGAGGAGAGUUCAGCAAGGAAUAAUAAGUGAGCUCAUCUACUGGAAGGCAGAGAGAAGCAUCUGAGAGGAAACAAAAGGAGGGAUUCUAGGCAUGUCAUCUGACAGCAGGCUGUGAGAACUGCAGCUCUUAUACAAAGCCAGAGACGUUGAAAAGAACAAGGUAGGCCCUCAAUCUCAGUCUCUGAUAGCCUGAGCUCUGUGUUCUGCAAAUUCUUCCCCUAGCUGGUGGUGUCUCCCAAAGGCAUCAUCUACUCCAGGGUUCUUGGUUCCUCUAAGAAACCUCCUGCUUCCACCCCCGGCCCAUUCCACAUAAUGUUUACAAGUUGGAGAAAAAGAGAUUUUAAGGUUGUAAUAAAAGCAGCUCUUACAUCAGCCUAAUGCUCAGUGUUCCUGUAUUUGCUGACAGCUCCUUCCUGAAAACGUCUGGGACUCUGCCUGAGACUUCUCCCUGAUCACUGGAGCAUACUUGAGUCUGGAACAGGGCAGACCAGAAAAGCCAGGGUCUUAAUGCCCCUCGGAGCAACCUUCAAACAAUGAUUGACUGCAGGUUAGACCACCUUCCUUGUCCUGUGGAGAUCUCUGCAUAUCAAGAGGGCAAAGGCAAAAGCUGUCAGGACAGCUCUUAAACAAGUUCUGCACAAUCUCCCAGAGAAUCCAUGGAGACUUCCGUGGAGCACCCCAGGAAGGACCCAGUGGAGAACCCCCAUAUGGAAGACCCCAUGGCAGACCCCCAGGAGAACACCAGCCUGUGGAGAACCUCCAGGGAAGACCCCCAUGGAGGACCCCCUGAUACCCUGGAGAACCACUCCCCACCCCGUGGAGGCCCCCCAUGGAGAACCCCCAGGGAUGACCCCCUGGAGAGCAACCCCCCACUCAGUGGAGGACCCUAUGAGACUGAGCUCUGCUGAGCUGCUCAUUAACUCCUCUGCCUGGCUUCCUCCCUUCUGUAUUUCCUUCCUCAUGCCCUGACCGGGGCUUCCUGAAAUCAAUUCCCAAUGGACUAUUUACACAUAUGUUCUGAUCUCAAGCCUGUUUUUGAUAACCUCCACCUAAGACUGCAAUGAAAUAAGUUUGGGAAGUGUGGCCCAUUUCAGAAUCAUGGGGUGGGAAGGUCUAAAGUUGAAAACUACAAAGUGA
This is a long non-coding RNA of Cervus elaphus (red deer), 1500 nucleotides long. RefSeq lists it as uncharacterized. The record is from RefSeq and is a predicted model, not a curated record. The transcript is spliced from 3 exons. Lineage: Eukaryota; Metazoa; Chordata; Mammalia; Artiodactyla; Cervidae.